Molecule: ribosomal RNA, 849 nt
Filed under: uncultured bacterium
Lineage: Bacteria
Description: bacterial SSU rRNA
Rfam family: Bacterial small subunit ribosomal RNA
Source: RNAcentral
UGGUCAACUAGAGUACUGUAGAGGGUGGUGGAAUUUCCAGUGUAGCGGUGAAAUGCGUAGAGAUUGGAAGGAACAUCAGUGGCGAAGGCGGCCACCUGGACAGAUACUGACGCUGAGGAACGAAAGCGUGGGGAGCGAACAGGAUUAGAUACCCUGGUAGUCCACGCCGUAAACGAUGUCAACUAGCCGUUUGUGUCCUAGAGACGUGAGUGGCGCAGCUAACGCACUAAGUUGACCGCCUGGGGAGUACGGCCGCAAGGUUAAAACUCAAAUGAAUUGACGGGGGCCCGCACAAGCGGUGGAGCAUGUGGUUUAAUUCGAUGCAACGCGAAGAACCUUACCAUCCCUUGACAUCCAGAGAAGCGACUAGAGAUAGACGUGUGCCUUCGGGAACUCUGUGACAGGUGCUGCAUGGCUGUCGUCAGCUCGUGUUGUGAAAUGUUGGGUUAAGUCCCGCAACGAGCGCAACCCCUAUCCUUAUUUGCCAGCGCGUAGUGGCGGGAACUCUAAGGAGACUGCCGGUGAUAAACCGGAGGAAGGUGGGGACGAUGUCAAGUCAUCAUGGCCCUUACGGGAUGGGCUACACACGUGCUACAAUGGCAGGUACAGAGGGCAGCAAUACCGCGAGGUGGAGCGAAUCCCACAAAGCUUGUCGUAGUCCGGAUUGGAGUCUGCAACUCGACUCCAUGAAGUCGGAAUCGCUAGUAAUCGUAGAUCAGAAUGCUACGGUGAAUACGUUCCCGGGCCUUGUACACACCGCCCGUCACACCAUGGGAGUGGGAUGCAAAAGAAGUGGCUAGUUUAACCUUCGGGAGGACGGUCACCACUUUGUGUUUCAUGACUGGGGUG